GGGGAGGGGAGCUACCAUGCAGUCGAGCGGGGGAAGGUAGCUUGCUACUGGACCUAGCGGCGGACGGGUGAGUAAUGCUUAGGAAUCUGCCUAUUAGUGGGGGACAACAUUCCGAAAGGAAUGCUAAUACCGCAUACGUCCUACGGGAGAAAGCAGGGGACCUUCGGGCCUUGCGCUAAUAGAUGAGCCUAAGUCGGAUUAGCUAGUUGGUGGGGUAAAGGCCUACCAAGGCGACGAUCUGUAGCGGGUCUGAGAGGAUGAUCCGCCACACUGGGACUGAGACACGGCCCAGACUCCUACGGGAGGCAGCAGUGGGGAAUAUUGGACAAUGGGGGGAACCCUGAUCCAGCCAUGCCGCGUGUGUGAAGAAGGCCUUAUGGUUGUAAAGCACUUUAAGCGAGGAGGAGGCUACUAGUAUUAAUACUACUGGAUAGUGGACGUUACUCGCAGAAUAAGCACCGGCUAACUCUGUGCCAGCAGCCGCGGUAAUACAGAGGGUGCGAGCGUUAAUCGGAUUUACUGGGCGUAAAGCGUGCGUAGGCGGCCAUUUAAGUCAAAUGUGAAAUCCCCGAGCUUAACUUGGGAAUUGCAUUCGAUACUGGAUGGCUAGAGUAUGGGAGAGGAUGGUAGAAUUCCAGGUGUAGCGGUGAAAUGCGUAGAGAUCUGGAGGAAUACCGAUGGCGAAGGCAGCCAUCUGGCCUAAUACUGACGCUGAGGUACGAAAGCAUGGGGAGCAAACAGGAUUAGAUACCCUGGUAGUCCAUGCCGUAAACGAUGUCUACUAGCCGUUGGGGCCUUUGAGGCUUUAGUGGCGCAGCUAACGCGAUAAGUAGACCGCCUGGGGAGUACGGUCGCAAGACUUAAACUCAAAUGAAUUGACGGGGGCCCCCCAAGCGGUGGGACCUGGGGGUUAAUCGAUGCAACGCGAAAAACCUAA
This 937-nucleotide ribosomal RNA is filed under the name Acinetobacter venetianus. RNAcentral describes it as "bacterial SSU rRNA". It matches the Rfam family "Bacterial small subunit ribosomal RNA", at positions 39 to 973 of the family's 1533-position model. Lineage: Bacteria; Pseudomonadati; Pseudomonadota; Gammaproteobacteria; Moraxellales; Moraxellaceae. The record is from RNAcentral.